This 465-nucleotide ribosomal RNA is filed under the name uncultured bacterium. RNAcentral describes it as "partial 16S ribosomal RNA". It matches the Rfam family "Bacterial small subunit ribosomal RNA", at positions 28 to 507 of the family's 1533-position model. The record is from RNAcentral.
GAUGAACGCUGGCGGCGUGCUUAACACAUGCAAGUCGAACGGAAAGGCUCCUGCUUGCAGGGGCACUCGAGUGGCGAACGGGUGAGUAACACGUGGGUGAUCUGCCCUGCACUUCGGGAUAAGCCUGGGAAACUGGGUCUAAUACCGGAUAGGACAUCGUUUAGUGUCGGUGGUGGAAAGUUUUUUCGGUGUGGGAUGAGCUCGCGGCCUAUCAGCUUGUUGGUGGGGUAAUGGCCUACCAAGGCGUCGACGGGUAGCCGGCCUGAGAGGGUGUACGGCCACAUUGGGACUGAGAUACGGCCCAGACUCCUACGGGAGGCAGCAGUGGGGAAUAUUGCACAAUGGGCGCAAGCCUGAUGCAGCGACGCCGCGUGGGGGAUGACGGCCUUCGGGUUGUAAACUCCUUUCGCCAGGGACGAAGCGAAAGUGACGGUACCUGGAGAAGAAGCACCGGCUAACUACGUG